This 451-nucleotide long non-coding RNA is filed under the name Brassica napus (rape). RNAcentral describes it as "long non-coding RNA (BNAP_LNC021079)". The record is from RNAcentral. Lineage: Eukaryota; Viridiplantae; Streptophyta; Magnoliopsida; Brassicales; Brassicaceae.
AUGUGUCUUGUGGUGGCCGUUCCAAAGGUCACACAUAUAUCCUCAUACUCUGCAAUAACCGGAAGUUCCUACAGUUCAUGCUGUCCAUCAUCUUUUACCAUCGAAAUGGUAGCCAAAAAUCUCUUUGCUCUUAUAUCCAAUAACUCCUCAGCAUGUAGCAUGCAUGCAAUAAAAACUUCCAUCUGCUCCAGCAAUAGGAAAUCUUGCCCUCAGACAAUCCAACACUCCUCGAUAUCGUGACAGCCAAUCCAUCUCAAGGAUGACAUCGGAAAAACGUAGCUCCAUCUCUGCCGAGUCUCCGAACAAAUCAGCCCUCCAAGCAUAAGUGGUACACCACGAAGAAUAUAAAUAGUUUUCACGUCAUAUGCCAGCUGUCCUAACUGACACAUCUCUGAAAUGAUUAACAAUGCCAAAAACUGGCAACCAAAACCAAGCGUAACUCCAAUAUCAA